RNAcentral lists this ribosomal RNA (529 nucleotides) under Salmonella enterica subsp. enterica serovar Infantis. Its description in RNAcentral is "bacterial SSU rRNA". It matches the Rfam family "Bacterial small subunit ribosomal RNA", at positions 1 to 519 of the family's 1533-position model. The record is from RNAcentral. Lineage: Bacteria; Pseudomonadati; Pseudomonadota; Gammaproteobacteria; Enterobacterales; Enterobacteriaceae. RNAcentral also lists the same sequence under 1 other name.
AAAUUGAAGAGUUUGAUCAUGGCUCAGAUUGAACGCUGGCGGCAGGCCUAACACAUGCAAGUCGAACGGUAACAGGAAGCAGCUUGCUGCUUCGCUGACGAGUGGCGGACGGGUGAGUAAUGUCUGGGAAACUGCCUGAUGGAGGGGGAUAACUACUGGAAACGGUGGCUAAUACCGCAUAACGUCGCAAGACCAAAGAGGGGGACCUUCGGGCCUCUUGCCAUCAGAUGUGCCCAGAUGGGAUUAGCUUGUUGGUGAGGUAACGGCUCACCAAGGCGACGAUCCCUAGCUGGUCUGAGAGGAUGACCAGCCACACUGGAACUGAGACACGGUCCAGACUCCUACGGGAGGCAGCAGUGGGGAAUAUUGCACAAUGGGCGCAAGCCUGAUGCAGCCAUGCCGCGUGUAUGAAGAAGGCCUUCGGGUUGUAAAGUACUUUCAGCGGGGAGGAAGGUGUUGCGGUUAAUAACCGCAGCAAUUGACGUUACCCGCAGAAGAAGCACCGGCUAACUCCGUGCCAGCAGCCGCG